CUACGAUUAGAUACCCUAUUAUUUUUAACGUUAUUUUAUCCUGGGUAGUAUUAUAUAUGUGUUGAAACCUAUAGUAUUUGGCGGUGUUUUAUUUCGUUUAGAGGAACUUGUAGUGUAAUCGAUAGUCCUCGUUUUAUCUUUCUUUAUUUUGUUUUUAGUAUGUAUACCGCCGUUAUAAGUAUAUUUUUAUAGAAUUUGAUUUACUCUUUAGUUAAUUAAUUGUUAUUUCAGGUCAAGGUGCAGCUUAUAAUAAAGUAUUUAUGAGUUACAAUGUUAUUUUAUAUACGGAUUAAAUAUGUAAUUUAUAUUGAAGGUGGAUUUAAUAGUAAUUUUAAUUAUUUACUUAAGGUGAUUAUGAUUUUAAAAUGAGUACACAUCG
This 379-nucleotide ribosomal RNA is filed under the name Prisopus sp. Brazil. RNAcentral describes it as "partial 12S ribosomal RNA". The record is from RNAcentral. Lineage: Eukaryota; Metazoa; Arthropoda; Insecta; Phasmatodea; Prisopodidae.